AGCUGAUCACUGGGCAUAAAGGGUGCGCAGGCGGUUUUGUAAGACAGAGGUGAAAUCCCCGGGCUCAACCUGGGAACUGCCUUUGUGACUGCAAGGCUGGAGUGCGGCAGAGGGGGAUGGAAUUCCGCGUGUAGCAGUGAAAUGCGUAGAUAUGCGGAGGAACACCGAUGGCGAAGGCAAUCCCCUGGGCCUGCACUGACGCUCAUGCACGAAAGCGUGGGGAGUAAACA
This 230-nucleotide ribosomal RNA is filed under the name uncultured Alicycliphilus sp. RNAcentral's name for it is "partial 16S ribosomal RNA". It matches the Rfam family "Bacterial small subunit ribosomal RNA", at positions 550 to 774 of the family's 1533-position model. Lineage: Bacteria; Pseudomonadati; Pseudomonadota; Betaproteobacteria; Burkholderiales; Comamonadaceae. The record is from RNAcentral.